Long non-coding RNA from Colias croceus (clouded yellow), 491 nucleotides. RefSeq lists it as uncharacterized. The record is from RefSeq and is a predicted model, not a curated record. NCBI's taxonomy places the organism in Eukaryota, Metazoa, Arthropoda, Insecta, Lepidoptera, Pieridae. The transcript has 3 exons.
GUUAGGUACACGUUUCUAAUGUUUAAUGUCGAGAUGUUUUAAACAUUAACACAUUACGGACUCUUGUACACGCUAAUAAUCGUACGUUUGUUUGUAAUAACAGCUGCAUAGCUCUUGCUAAGCUACUCUGUACGGCUAAUAAACAUUUCCCUAUUGUGAAGAUUGUGCUUGAAUAGUAUUAUAUCUACAACAUGAAGACGCUUACGAGGAAAUUGUUGCAACAAUAUAUAACUGCGGUCCGGGUGCAGCGCGCCUGUCAAAGUGGCUGACUGACUCCUGGCGACUUUGUUACGGCCAAAAGUAACUUUUGGAAUACUCCCAGACAGAGGGGGCUGACCCCCUUUCAGGGCUGUUUACACGCCACACGCACCAUCCCGUUGAGCCGGUGCCGUAUCUGCAGCAGGUGGUGCAGCGCCUGCUCGUUGGUGCGCUCGCCGCAGUCCAGCGCGCUGCGGCCGCGGCCCCACGACACCAGCGGGUCGUACACGAAC